Molecule: ribosomal RNA, 1399 nt
Filed under: uncultured bacterium
Lineage: Bacteria
Description: partial 16S ribosomal RNA
Rfam family: Bacterial small subunit ribosomal RNA
Source: RNAcentral
GAAUUCGCCCUUAGAGUUUGAUCCUGGCUCAGGACGAACGCUGGCGGCGUGCUUAACACACGCAAGUCGAGCGAAGUGCUUUAGACUGAUCCCUUCGGGGUGACGUCUUUAGUAUCUUAGCGGCGGACGGGUGAGUAACGCGUGAGAAACCUGCCUUUCACAAAGGAAUAGCCUCGGGAAACUGGGAUUAAUACCUUAUGAUACCUUAACUCCACAUGGAGCCUAGGUUAAAGCGUAAAGCGGUGAAAGAUGGUCUCGCGUCCCAUUAGUUAGUUGGUGAGGUAAUGGCUCACCAAGACCAUGAUGGGUAACCGGCCUGAGAGGGUGAACGGUCACACUGGAACUGAGACACGGUCCAGACUCCUACGGGAGGCAGCAGUGGGGAAUAUUGCACAAUGGAGGAAACUCUGAUGCAGCGACGCCGCGUGAAUGAUGAAGGUCUUCGGAUCGUAAAAUUCUGUCCUAGGGGACGAUAAUGACGGUACCCUAGGAGGAAGCCCCGGCUAACUAUGUGCCAGCAGCCGCGGUAAUACAUAGGGGGCAAGCGUUGUCCGGAUUUAUUGGGCGUAAAGGGUACGCAGGCGGUCCUUUAAGUCAGAUGUGAAAUCUUACGGCUCAACCGUAAUUAGCAUUUGAAACUGGAGGACUUGAGUUAAGGAGAGGAAAGUGGAAUUCCUAGUGUAGCGGUGAAAUGCGUAGAUAUUAGGAGGAAUACCAGUGGCGAAGGCGACUUUCUGGACUUAUACUGACGCUGAGGUACGAAAGCGUGGGGAUCAAACAGGAUUAGAUACCCUGGUAGUCCACGCCGUAAACUAUGAUUACUCGUUGUUUGCGAUAUACUGUAAGCGACUGCGCGAAAGCAUUAAGUAAUCCACCUGGGGAGCACGUUGGCAACAAUGAAACUCAAAGGAAUUGACGGGGGCCCGCACAAGCGGAGGAACAUGUGGUUUAAUUCGAUGAUACGCGAGGAACCUUACCUGGGCUUAAAUGGGAAGUGACAGUUUUGGAAACAAAAUUUUCUUCGGACACUUUUCAAGGUGCUGCAUGGUUGUCGUCAGCUCGUGCCGUGAGGUGUCGGGUUAAGUCCCAUAACGAGCGCAACCCUUGUCGAUAGUUGCCAGCAUGUAAUGAUGGGGGCUCUAUCGAGACUGCCGGUGUAAACCGUGAGGAAGGUGGGGAUGACGUCAAAUCAGCACGGCCCUUACGUCCAGGGCUACACACGUGUUACAAUGGUCGGUACAAUGGGCAGCUACUCAGCGAUGAGAUGCUAAUCUUCAAAACCGAUCUCAGUUCGGAUCGGAGUCUGCAACUCGACUCCGUGAAGCUGGAUUCGCUAGUAAUCGCAUAUCAGCCAUGAUGCGGUGAAUAAGUUCCCGGGCCUUGCACACACCGCCCGUCA